RNAcentral lists this ribosomal RNA (816 nucleotides) under Bulgaria inquinans. RNAcentral describes it as "eukaryotic LSU rRNA". It matches the Rfam family "Eukaryotic large subunit ribosomal RNA", at positions 87 to 920 of the family's 3401-position model. The record is from RNAcentral. Lineage: Eukaryota; Fungi; Ascomycota; Leotiomycetes; Phacidiales; Phacidiaceae.
CGGCGAGUGAAGCGGCAACAGCUCAAAUUUGAAAUCUGGCCCUUUCAGGGUCCGAGUUGUAAUUUGUAGAGGAUGUUUCGGGCGUGGCUCCGGUCUAAGUUCCUUGGAACAGGACGUCAUAGAGGGUGAGAAUCCCGUAUGUGACUGGUAGCCUAUGCCCAUGUGAAACUCCUUCGACGAGUCGAGUUGUUUGGGAAUGCAGCUCAAAAUGGGUGGUAAAUUUCAUCUAAAGCUAAAUAUUGGCCAGAGACCGAUAGCGCACAAGUAGAGUGAUCGAAAGAUGAAAAGCACUUUGGAAAGAGAGUUAAACAGUACGUGAAAUUGUUGAAAGGGAAGCGCUUGCAACCAGACUUGCACGUGGCCGAUCAACCGGUGUUCUCACCGGUGCACUCGGUUGCGUUCAGGCCAGCAUCGGUUUCGACGGUUGGAUAAAGGCCCCGGGAAUGUAGCUUCUUUCGGGGAGUGUUAUAGCCCGGGGUGCAAUGCAGCCUGUUGGGACCGAGGACCGCGCUUCGGCUAGGAUGCUGGCGUAAUGGUUGUAAGCGACCCGUCUUGAAACACGGACCAAGGAGUCUAACAUCUAUGCGAGUGUUUGGGUGUCAAACCCAUACGCGUAAUGAAAGUGAACGGAGGUGAGAACCCUUAAGGGUGCAUCAUCGACCGAUCCUGAUGUCUUCGGAUGGAUUUGAGUAAGAGCAUAGCUGUUGGGACCCGAAAGAUGGUGAACUAUGCCUGAAUAGGGUGAAGCCAGAGGAAACUCUGGUGGAGGCUCGCAGCGGUUCUGACGUGCAAAUCGAUCGUCAAAUUUGGGUAUAG